GCGCACUCACCUAUCCACUAAAUAGCAAUUUCAAUGUUGAAAGAUUUUAUUUGUUUUUUUUAACAAACCCCUAAACCCCCAUUAUUUUUGCCUAGAUUAGGUGUUUUUAAAAAAACAAAUAAAAUCUUUCAACAUUGAAGUUGCUGUUUAGUGGAUAGGUGAGUGUGC
Pelobates cultripes (western spadefoot toad) is the source of this 168-nucleotide non-coding RNA. The record is from the annotation of a GenBank genome assembly. NCBI's taxonomy places the organism in Eukaryota, Metazoa, Chordata, Amphibia, Anura, Pelobatidae.